This 221-nucleotide long non-coding RNA is filed under the name Nicotiana benthamiana. RNAcentral's name for it is "long non-coding RNA (NBEN_LNC000630)". The record is from RNAcentral. Lineage: Eukaryota; Viridiplantae; Streptophyta; Magnoliopsida; Solanales; Solanaceae.
CUUGAUAUGCAGCUAAAGUUUAUUAUGUGACUUAUAUGACUCAACUUGAAAGAUUUAAGUUGUUUGAAGCAUAUGCAAUUUUUGGUCCUGAAGUACCGCAUCCUAAGUACAAUUUGUGUAUAUAUGAAUCUUGCCAUAACUAUAAGCAUGAUGGAUUAAAGAAUGCAUCUAUGGAGAUAUUGAAGAGCUAUUCCACGACAUUAUAUGAAGAUGUUCAUAUC